This is a long non-coding RNA of Serinus canaria (Common canary), 715 nucleotides long. RefSeq lists it as uncharacterized. NCBI's taxonomy places the organism in Eukaryota, Metazoa, Chordata, Aves, Passeriformes, Fringillidae. The transcript has 3 exons. The record is from RefSeq and is a predicted model, not a curated record.
UAGCACCAGUAUAUCCCUUGAAUCUGCCAUGAAUUGGGUUCUGGAUUUUCAGAGUUCCAUUGUUGCUUCUUCCAAUUUUGUUGAGGCAUUGUCACUCAUCUGGGAGAUCCUCUCUUCCAAACAGCUUCUGGAUUCCCAAAGAAGACCUUGACACCUCAUCUUUUGUCCAGGGAAAGACUGACGUCUUUUACUGCAUUUGCUACCAAUCAAUAUCACCAACAGUAACUUUAAAAGGUAGGUCUUAUGCCAGGGAGAAUAAGUUAGAAAAAUCAAAGGCAGAAGACUGAAGAGUUGCAAAUAAGUGCUAUCAUGACCAGGAUCCUGGACCUACAGCUCUGAAAAUGAAGACUUUUUCCAUUAUACAAUCAUUUCUUAGUUGCUGUGAACACCUGUAGCUGCAUGCAGAACAAACUUCCUUGUUGAUGUGACUGAACCCACAAAGAAAUCUUUCCAUUCCCAGUGAAGAUGAUAUUCCUUCUCUCCUUUAUUCUUGGUAUUGCACCCUUUGCCUCCAUCUGAAAUUUGGGUUGACAGGGACUAAAGAUUCUCCACUGAUGGGAUGAAGAACUUGUCCCUCUUUCUGAUGAAAGCAGCUGAGCUCUAGACCCACUCUGUCACCACCAUCAAAUGAACAAACUCUAAGUGCUCUGCUGACAAGGAAGAUGAAGAAUGUUAUUUCUAAUUCAAGAAGGAUGUUCCCCACUAAAAUAAAUAC